RNAcentral lists this ribosomal RNA (505 nucleotides) under uncultured bacterium. RNAcentral describes it as "bacterial SSU rRNA". It matches the Rfam family "Bacterial small subunit ribosomal RNA", at positions 30 to 526 of the family's 1533-position model. The record is from RNAcentral.
AUUGAACGCUGGCGGCAUGCCUAACACAUGCAAGUCGAACGGCAGCAUAUCCUAGCUUGCUAGGAUGAUGGCGAGUGGCGAACGGGUGAGUAACGCGUAGGGAUCUGCCCUAGAGUGGGGGACAACCCGGGGAAACUCGGGCUAAUACCGCAUAUAUCUUCGGAAGAAAGCUGGGUUUCGGCCUGGCGCUCUAGGAGGAACCUGCGUCCGAUUAGCUAGUUGGUGGGGUAAAGGCCUACCAAGGCCGCGAUCGGUAGCUGUUCUGAGAGGAAGACCAGCCACACUGGGACUGAGACACGGCCCAGACUCCUACGGGAGGCAGCAGUGGGGAAUAUUGGACAAUGGGGGCAACCCUGAUCCAGCAAUGCCGCGUGUGUGAAGAAGGCCUGCGGGUUGUAAAGCACUUUCGGCUAGGAAGAAGUGGGUAGGCGGAUAAUGCCUAUCUCAUUGACGUUACUAGCAAAAGAAGCACCGGCUAACUCUGUGCCAGCCGCCGCCGUAACAC